RNAcentral lists this unclassified non-coding RNA (4315 nucleotides) under Drosophila ananassae. Its description in RNAcentral is "GF11490". The record is from RNAcentral. Lineage: Eukaryota; Metazoa; Arthropoda; Insecta; Diptera; Drosophilidae.
CGACAUCUUAAAUAUACUAUAAUUCUUCAUUUUUGUACAUUAUGUAUUAUGUAUAAAAGAAAACUGACACCACUGCUGCUGCCCUGGACAUUGAUGCUCGAGUUCAGGCCCAACUUAACAAUAUAAAACAUGUUGCGCCGCGCAUGUUGCAUGCGGUUAAAUGCAACCUUGCUCGACAGUUGCAGUAUGUUUGAAACGAACUUGUUGCAUGAAGCGAAGUAACGAAACAUGAAACGAUAUAAAGUCACUGUUACACAAAAAUAUCGAUAAAUUGUUGUAGCGAUGAUUUAAGGAAACAUUUUUUUACUGUCCCAUCUCUAGCUGAAGACAACAAAAAUAGCUAAAUGUUAUUUUUCUGAAAGUGCCACCAUAGAUCUGAUGCCAUGUCCCCGGCGUUAGACCUGGGUAACUCUGUAGAGCCGUACCACAACCUGGACAGCGGAAGCGUUGGAAAGGACACCUCACCUUGCACCUCUUCCUCACCAUCGGUCCGUCACGCAAUGGGGCAGGGAACGUCAUGGCUGCGACAAUGUCGGCGGUACAAACUUCUUGCCGUGAUCCUAAUGCUGCUAUUUUUCGUAUCCUGCCUUGCAUAUAGAAUACUUAGUUCUGAGCAGGAUGCUCCGUCCUUGGAUGUGCACCGCAGUUCCCCUCUACUGGAUGCCUAUGAAGACUUUUCUGCUAUGCGAGCCGGAGAUCUUAAAAUGCGCAUAGAGGAGUUAGUUCGAAUAAAGAGUACAGUUUCGGUGGAACUGCGAGAACUGGAGUCCCGACGCCAAAAGCUGCAGUCUGACAUCAGUCAAUACAAUCAAAAAAUCGAGGAGCUUAAACAGGAGCUAUUGCGAGAGCAAACAGAACUAGAGCGCCUUAAAAUCUCAGUGGAGCAAGCCCAGGUGGCUCAGCGGGAAGCAGUGCAACGGAAUACACCCGAUCUAGCCUUGCCGCGCUCUCUAUUGCCAAACACCUUGCCUCGAAGGAUGAGUCCUAUUUCAUGGGGCAUGGCAGCCAGCUGCGAAAUGCACAACUGCUUCAAUCAUUCUCGAUGUAGUUUGACCUCUGGCUUUCCUGUGUACCUGUACGACCCGGAUGAACAUAGCGUGCAAAAACAUGGUUAUGAUAUUGACGGUUUCUUAAAGACCACUAUUAAGCAAACAUUGGGAUACAAUGCGCAUAUUGUAAGAGACCCUAAAAUGGCGUGCAUUUAUUUGGUGCUCGUGGGUGAGGCUCUUCUGGAGCAGGAUUUGUUAAGGAACAAUCGGUACGCGGCACAGGAAGCCGAGCAGCAGGUUCCCUCCACUCCGGGUCAAGCAGACGAAUGCCCUGUGGAUAUGGAAAAAUUAUAUCGGUUGCCAUACUGGGGCGGCGAUGGACGAAACCAUGUACUGCUAAACCUUGCUCGGAGGGACCUCUCUUCACGACGCACAAAUCCGCUUCACAAGCAAAACACCAUGCGCGCCAUUGUCGUGCAGAGUGCAUUCGAACGGGAACAAUUCAGACCUGGCUAUGAUAUCAUUGUGCCGCCAAUAUUAGGUCCCCCAGGUGGAGAUGUUUGGCAGGAGUGUGCUGGGAUGGUUCCAGCUAGGCGGAAGUACCUGCUUACAUUCCAGGGUGAGUUAAGACCAAAGCAAAAAGCCUCAGUGAGGUUGGAUGAUUUUAUAAUCGAGCACCUGACGGAUAUGGCCAAUGGAGCUACGCAGGACCAGUUUGUGCUCCAAUUCCAGUGUAAUCCAGCCACGGAACAGCAAGAGGCAGACUCUGUGCCGGACUGGACACUCUGUGGCUCAGACUCUUCCCGAAAGCAACUACUGAAAGAUUCUACUUUUGUUUUGAUUCUGCCUCCUUUAAACGGAAGAGUGUCAUCUACGCUGAUGCUUGCUAGGAUUUACGAAGCUUUGCGUUCAGGAGCCAUACCAGUGAUCCUAGGAUCUGAUGAGCUUCGCCUACCAUAUGCUGAAACACUAGACUGGAGGCGGACUGCACUUCUCCUUCCUAAAGCUCGAAUCACAGAACUCCACUUCCUGCUACGCGCUGUUCAAGAUGCGGAUUUGCUUUUGCUGCGUCGCCAGGGACGGCUUAUUUGGGAGCGAUACCUCAGCUCGGUGCAGGCCACAGUCGAUACGGUUAUUGCCAGUUUGCGUGAUCGAUUGGGAAUUCCGCCAAGACCAGUUCCAUCAGUGCAGGCGCAGAGUGUUUUUAAUAGCACUUUUACACCAUUAAAAUCAGAUCCACCGGUUGGUAUUGAUACAGAACCAGAAGAGUCUCUGGGCCCUAUCGAGCCACCAUAUCCCAGCCCGGCCUUUCGACGAAAUUACACUAUCCUGCGGAUGCAAGCUAAGGAAGCCUGGAAUGACUGGGUAGACCCAUUUUACCUCUACCCUCAGUUGCCCUUCGACCCGGCUCUGCCUUCCGAAGCUAAGUUCUUGGGCUCUCACACAGGAUUCCGGCCCAUCGGAAAGGGACUUGGCGGCGCAGGUAAAGAAUUUGGAGAAGCAUUGGGCGGAAACUAUCCACGAGAGCAAUUCACGAUCGUGAUGUUAACCUACGAAAGGGAACAGGUGCUAAUGGAUUCAUUGGGCAGGUUGUACGGACUUCCCUAUUUGCACAAAGUUGUCGUGGUUUGGAACUCCCCCAAGCCGCCAUUAGACGAUCUACGUUGGCCGGAUAUCGGAGUGCCGGUAGCUGUUGUGCGAGCUCCUAGAAAUUCCCUGAACAACCGGUUUCUUCCCUUUGAUGUUAUUGAAACGGAGGCAGUGCUUUCCGUAGACGAUGAUGCACAUUUAAGGCACGAUGAGAUUCUCUUCGGAUUCCGCGUAUGGCGUGAGCACCGUGACCGGGUUGUGGGCUUUCCCGGCCGCUAUCAUGCGUGGGAUUUGGGUAAUCCGAACGGCCAGUGGCACUACAACUCCAAUUACAGCUGCGAACUAAGCAUGGUCCUGACGGGCGCUGCCUUUGUACACAAGUACUACCUGUACCUCUACACCUAUCACCUGCCUCAGGCAAUUCGCGAUAAAGUGGAUGAGUACAUGAACUGCGAGGACAUUGCAAUGAACUUUCUUGUGUCGCACAUGACGAGAAAGCCGCCUGUAAAAGUCACAUCCAGGUGGACCUUCCGCUGUCCUGGUUGCCCGGUUUCACUUAGCGAAGACGAUACGCACUUCCAGGAGCGGCAUAAGUGCAUAAACUUUUUCAGCCGCGUGUUUGGCUACACGCCGCUAUUGAACACUCAGUUCCGAGCGGACUCCAUCCUGUUCAAGACGCGCAUACCGCACGAUAAGCAAAAGUGCUUCAAGUACAUCUAGUCGUCCAAGUGAUUCCAUCCCCGUUACUAAUUUUAAUUCCGACAACGGUGACCACUACGACUUACCCUACCGUAGUGGCCAUCAGCUGAAUAUAUUCUAGAGGUACGUGGCAAGAUGCCUGUGCAAUUUUUUUAAAUUUAAUAUUUACUAGUUUGUAUUAAUUCUAAGUAAUGCCAUAAUCAAAUUAUUUAUUUGUUUGACUAUCAUUUUGUGUCUUAUAGUUGUUGUUUAUUAUAUUAAUUUAUUUAAUAGACAAUUUGUAAACCAAAAAAUGCUCUUAAAUAAGAAACAAAAUGUAAAAUUUCAAUAUAUGUAGAUAAGAUUUGAAAUUUGUGAACACCGGAACAUGUCCGUAUUUAUGUAUAUACUAUAGUUUGACCUUAGACCGAACCCGAUAAGCUCACAUAGCACUGCUCGCUAAAGUCUGAUCAGUUAAAUCAUAUUCUUUAAUUCCACCCUCGACUUUUUGCAAUGAAAUUUUUUAAAGUGGAGUUGAAAAUAUAGACUGUAAGCUACACCAAACCAAUUUGCAAUACUUUUAAUCAUGGUUUGUUUUUAGGCUAAGUUUUUUUUCAAUUUUUACUUUGUAUAUAACGCGGAAUAAAAAAGAAUUUUGUAUCGUCAUGAAUUGGAACUUUGAAAUUAUUGUGAUGAGCUCUUUUCCAUAUUUGUCAGUUAAAUUACCUUUAACCAUAUUUCAUUGUGAGCAAUACAUGGCUGGCUCUUGGAUAGAAUGACAGAAGGGUUCUGAGACCGUCCUUUUGAGCACACCUCGCGGCCGAGAAUUAUGCUGCAUCUAGUACCAUGAAGUCCUAGAAAAUGAACAAUUCCGAAGAAGCUCCCAUGGGCCGAUUCCUACAAUGUGAGCUGAAGCGGUGGUCAGUCUAACGCUGAACUUAGACAAUAGAGACGUCCGCACUCUGGUUUAGACCACGGGUAUUUUAUAUUUAUAAGUAUAAAUUAUUUGGAAUGCUGAAUACUCAGUACAGGAUUAAAGACACACAUGCGGUAAACGA